Molecule: unclassified non-coding RNA, 171 nt
Organism: Chelonoidis abingdonii (Abingdon island giant tortoise)
Lineage: Eukaryota; Metazoa; Chordata; Testudines; Testudinidae
Source: Ensembl
UUGACAGGCCUGGAGAAUGGAGUUGUCUAUUCAUAGAACAGGUUCAGUAUGGGUAGCAGCAGUGAACGCUUAUUCAUGUAGCCCUGCUAGUGUGCCUCAAUCCUGACCUAGAGAGGCUGCUUCUGGGGACAGGGGAGUUCAGUCUCUGUUCCAGUUCAGUCCAUGUUCUCU